GUAGGGAAUAUUGGGCAAUGGUCGGAAGACUGACCCAGCCAUGCCGCGUGCAGGAAGACGGCCCUCUGGGUUGUAAACUGCUUUUAUCUGGGAAGAAAAAGGCCAUGCGUGGCAAAUUGCCGGUACCAGAUGAAUAAGCACCGGCUAACUCCGUGCCAGCAGCCGCGGUAAUACGGAGGGUGGGAGCGUUGUCCGGAUUUAUUGGGUUUAAAGGGUGCGUAGGCGGCUGAUUAAGUCAGCGGUGAAAGACUUCGGCUUAACCGGAGCAGUGCCGUUGAUACUGGUUGGCUUGAGUGUCGGAGGGGUACAUGGAAUUGAUGGUGUAGCGGUGAAAUGCAUAGAUACCAUCAGGAACACCGAUAGCGAAGGCAUUGUACUGGCCGACAACUGACGCUGAUGCACGAAAGUGUGGGGAUCGAACAGGAUUAGAUACCCCGGUAGUCC
Molecule: ribosomal RNA, 444 nt
Filed under: uncultured bacterium
Lineage: Bacteria
Description: partial 16S ribosomal RNA
Rfam family: Bacterial small subunit ribosomal RNA
Source: RNAcentral